UCCUAAAACAACAACCAAACAUAGACAAAAGCAAGAGAAAAAAAACCCAGCCACAACCUUUGAGCUUCCCCCAUCCAAAAGCAAAACGACAGUCUAUACAAAAUAGAAAGCUUCUAAGAAAAACUAACGAUCUCUCAGAGGCAAAGGUAUAGGAGAGACCCACUGUUCCGGUAAUCCUAGCCUAUCGUUGAUGUUGUGUGUCAUCGACCAAAUGGACACCCACCAGUGCAUCAUGGGAGCUGACCUGAAGAAGGCAAUCAACGAACACCCAACAGAUCUGACCAUUCGCUCACGAGCCCUAUCCUUCCCACUGUCCAUCACGUCUGUCGAUCGCGUCGAAGCACCUGCAUCGAAGUUAGAGGCAAGAAGCGGCUGGAGCAACAAGCACCUGUUCCUCAACCACAACCUCCCAGAUGGUUAUAGGACCGUCCUCCACCCACCAAGAUGCACAUUGCUGACGCCAACCUUAUUUUACCAUCAGGUGAGCAACUUUGUUUAAUGCCCCAGAUAUGCAUGCUAAUUGUCAAUCGAUCUAUACUUGUAGAUUGAAACUUUGAAAUAGCCACCAAAAAAUCUCUUUCCAUUUCCACUGACCGAAAGUCCAAAUCCAAAGCAAAACAAAGGGCUUGCAAGGCUGCCCAAGCCUUAGCAAUAAGUGGACUUUGGGUAAACUCGUUCCAAAAACAAGCAACCCCUAUGAGUAGGUCGUAGCUAUUCCGGAUAACAACCCUCGCAUAGGUAGCCCCUAAAUCCUUGUAGUAUAGAGCAUCAAAAUUGACCCGAACAAAAGGUUCUACAUGUGGCUAUCACAGCACUAGAUCAAAUGGAACCAAGCACUGUUGGGAUCCAUACAACUAAUCAAAUUGUCGAACAUAACCCAGAAUAAAUGUAACAAGUUCUGAAUUAGACUGUCGUUUCCUGUCAUGAAGUAAGAUAUUUCUCGAGUAUCAUACUGCCCAAAUUGUGAUUAUUACCGUCAGACAUUGCAAAGGAGUGCUACUGAAAAGUAGGUGUUGCACCCAUCCUUCAAAAGUGUCACUCGUAAAGUCUAUUUGCUAAUGGAAACCAAGAUCUUUCCAGAUAAUCAACACCAAAAGACAAUCACAACACGCAUAAAAAGCGGUUUCAGCACCCAUGCCACAUCAACGACACACUGCAUCCCUCCGAAGGCGUCACACAUAUAGAUUAGAGUUAGUAGGUACAUAAUUGUUAAGGAAUCUCCAAAUUGUAAUCUUAAUUUUUUUCGGGCCCUGUAAUUGCCACAAAUGUCUAUACAUACACCUAGUAGCAAGGUCCACAUCAAUGUACGUAUCCUCCACGGAUCCAGAGAAGCCCUGAAGAAGAAAUCGAUACCCAUUGCGCACAAUAUAUUCCCCACAACUCUCGAGACACCACCGCAACCGGUCCAUGGCUCAUUCCUGCAGCAGUGCUUACUAGGAUGAUCACUCGACAACCAUGGCAUAUCCCAGAUGGAAAUUAAAUUCCCAUUGCCCACUAGCCAGCUGCAACCUUUGGGAAAAAAGUCCUUUGGCAACCCAGAUGCUCCUCCAAAGAACAGAUGGUCAGUUCCCUAACUAAGACGUCAUAAAAUCAUAAUGCGAAAAAUAUUUAGCCUUAAGGACCCGUGCCACCAACGAUGAUGGGUCAUAUGCAAUGUUGAAUUUAGCAAGGUCACGGAACCCCAUCUCUCUAAUUUCUUUCAAAUCGCAAAACACCUCCCACAAACACCAAAGAAUACCACGCUUAGAAAGAGAUUUCUACCACCAAUAUCGACUAAGAACCCCUUCUAAUUCCCGACAAAAAGAUCCUGGUAAAAGAAAACAUGACAUAACAUAUGUAGGAAUCGCUUAUAGAAUUGAUUAGAUAAACACCUCAUUCCUUCAUUGGGACAAACAACGAAUACAAUCUUGCAUUGGA
Long non-coding RNA from Gossypium raimondii (Peruvian cotton), 1917 nucleotides. RefSeq lists it as uncharacterized. NCBI's taxonomy places the organism in Eukaryota, Viridiplantae, Streptophyta, Magnoliopsida, Malvales, Malvaceae. The transcript has 2 exons. The record is from RefSeq and is a predicted model, not a curated record.